This 474-nucleotide ribosomal RNA is filed under the name uncultured organism. RNAcentral's name for it is "partial 16S ribosomal RNA". It matches the Rfam family "Bacterial small subunit ribosomal RNA", at positions 329 to 799 of the family's 1533-position model. The record is from RNAcentral.
ACGUACACUCCUGCGGGAGGCAGCAGUGAGGAAUAUUGGACAAUGGGUGGAAGCCUGAUCCAGCCAUCCCGCGUGCAGGAAGACGGCCCUAUGGGUUGUAAACUGCUUUUAUCUGGGGAUAAACCUACUUACGUGUAAGUAGCUGAAGGUACCAGAAGAAUAAGCACCGGCUAACUCCGUGCCAGCAGCCGCGGUAAUACGGAGGGUGCAAGCGUUAUCCGGAUUUAUUGGGUUUAAAGGGUCCGUAGGCGGACUGAUAAGUCAGUGGUGAAAUCCGACAGCUUAACUGUCGAACUGCCAUUGAUACUGUUAGUCUUGAGUAAGGUUGAAGUGGCUGGAAUAAGUAGUGUAGCGGUGAAAUGCAUAGAUAUUACUUAGAACACCAAUUGCGAAGGCAGGUCACUAAGUCUUAACUGACGCUGAUGGACGAAAGCGUGGGGAGCGAACAGGAGUAGAAACCCGGGUAGUCCCAUG